Molecule: long non-coding RNA, 425 nt
Filed under: Bos taurus (domestic cattle)
Lineage: Eukaryota; Metazoa; Chordata; Mammalia; Artiodactyla; Bovidae
Description: long non-coding RNA NONBTAT016001
Source: RNAcentral
CUUAAAAAAAAAAAAGUAAUAGCUCUCAACCUGAGAUCAAAAAAUGAGAGAGUCACUGUGGACUUUCCCCAAACCUAUUGAUAGGUCUAUUUCUUCCUACGCCCUCAUAAGGAGCUAUUGUUUCAGAAUUCUAAGAAUUUCAAAUAAGCACCUGGUUAGGACCCGUUUAUCAGUCCUUCUGGCUCAAUAAGCAGCUUUUCAGUGACCCCAGGGACUUUGACCAAAGUCAGCUUGUUUCCUCCUUAGCAUUUUGGUUUAUUUUGGUUUGGGGGUUUUAUUUUUUCCCCCUAUAUUAUUUUCUCACUUCUUUAGAUUCAAUUUUUACUUUUAUCGUUUUUUCCUUUCCCUCCGUUUUUCUUUUUAAAUCUAGUUUCUUGCUAUUUGCUUUUUGUUCCAUUUUAUCCUUCUCUGGCAUCGUGUUUUGA